This 483-nucleotide ribosomal RNA is filed under the name uncultured bacterium. RNAcentral describes it as "partial 16S ribosomal RNA". It matches the Rfam family "Bacterial small subunit ribosomal RNA", at positions 29 to 507 of the family's 1533-position model. The record is from RNAcentral.
UUGAACGCUGGCGGCAUGCUUUACACAUGCAAGUCGAACGGCAGCGCGGGCUUCGGCCUGGCGGCGAGUGGCGAACGGGUGAGUAAUGCAUCGGAACGUGCCCAGUAGUGGGGGAUAGCCCGGCGAAAGCCGGAUUAAUACCGCAUACGACCUGAGGGUGAAAGCGGGGGGCCGAAAGGCCUCGCGCUCUUGGAGCGGCCGAUGUCGGAUUAGCUAGUUGGUGGGGUAAAGGCUUACCAAGGCGACGAUCCGUAGCUGGUCUGAGAGGACGACCAGCCACACUGGGAGUGAGAAACGGCCCAGACUCCUGCGGGAAGCAGCAGUGGGGAAUCUUGGACAAUGGGGGCAACCCUGAUCCAGCCAUGCCGCGUGCGGGAAGAAGGCCUUCGGGUUGUAAACCGCUUUUGUUCGGGAAGAAAUCCUCUGGGCUAAUACCCCGGGGGGAUGACGGUACCGGAAGAAUAAGCACCGGCUAACUACGUG